This 440-nucleotide ribosomal RNA is filed under the name uncultured bacterium. RNAcentral's name for it is "bacterial SSU rRNA". It matches the Rfam family "Bacterial small subunit ribosomal RNA", at positions 338 to 770 of the family's 1533-position model. The record is from RNAcentral.
CCUACGGGAGGCAGCAGUCGAGAAUUUUUCUCAAUGGGGGAAACCCUGAAGGAGCGACGCCGCGUGGAGGAUGAAGGUCUUCGGGUUGUAAACUCCUGUCAUUUGGGAACAAGUGUCGGUACUUAACUGCUACCGGCUUGAUAGUACCAGAAGAGGAAGAGACGGCUAACUCUGUGCCAGCAGCCGCGGUAAUACAGAGGUCUCAAGCGUUGUUCGGAUUCAUUGGGCGUAAAGAGCUCGUAGGCGGCUUAGCAAGUCGGGUGUAAAACCUCCAGGCUUAACCUGGAGAGGCCACCCGAUACUGCUAUGGCUAGAGUCCGGUAGGGGACCACGGAAUUCCUGGUGUAGCGGUGAAAUGCGCAGAUAUCAGGAGGAACACCGGUGGCGAAGGCGGUGGUCUGGGCCGGUACUGACGCUGAGGAGCGAAAGCGUGGGUAGCG